RNAcentral lists this ribosomal RNA (482 nucleotides) under uncultured bacterium. RNAcentral describes it as "partial 16S ribosomal RNA". It matches the Rfam family "Bacterial small subunit ribosomal RNA", at positions 30 to 507 of the family's 1533-position model. The record is from RNAcentral.
AUUGAACGCUGGCGGCAUGCCUUACACAUGCAAGUCGAACGGUAACGGGCCUUCGGGUGCCGACGAGUGGCGAACGGGUGAGUAAUACAUCGGAACGUGCCCGACCGUGGGGGAUAACGAGGCGAAAGCUUUGCUAAUACAGCAUACGAUCUACGGAUGAAAGCAGGGGACCGCAAGGCCUUGCGCGGACGGAGCGGCCGAUGGCAGAUUAGGUAGUUGGUGGGAUAAAAGCUUACCAAGCCGACGAUCUGUAGCUGGUCUGAGAGGAUGAUCAGCCACACUGGGACGGAGACACGGCCCAGACUCCUACGGGAGGCAGCAGUGGGGAAUUUUGGACAAUGGGCGCAAGCCUGAUCCAGCCAUGCCGCGUGGAGGAUGAAGGCCUUCGGGUUGUAAACUGCUUUUGUACGGAACGAAAAGCAUUCUUUUAAUACAGGAGGGUCAUGACGGUACCGUAAGAAUAAGCACCGGCUAACUACGUG